CAACCCAUAAGCUAGCUUUAAAAUAACAAAAAUAGCCCCCAUAAAUUAAGAAUAAACACUUCAUGGCCCCCCCCCCCCCAAACCAUUUUCCCCUCUAAGUAAGGGAGACUGAACAGAGACAUAACGCUAUAACAAUAGUACCGCAAGGGAAAGCUGAAAGAGAGAUUAAAAAGCUCAGUAAAGUGUCACAAAGCAGAGAUUUAUCCUCGUACCUUUUGCAUCAUGAUUUAGCCAGACCUAUCAAGCAAAGAGAGUCUUUAGUUUGAUACCCCGAACCUAGGCGAGCUACUCCCGGCCUGCCGAACCCCGGGCUAACCCCCCUCUGUGGCAAUAGAGGCGGGAAGAGCCGCGAGUAGAGGUGAUAAACCUAUCGAGCCUAGAGAUAGCUGGUUUUCUAGGAAAUGAAUAAUAGUUCAGCCUUUUAUCUUCUUGCUUUAACCACAUCUUUACUAAGACAGUCCCCUAAAAAUGAAAGAAAAUAAAAGAGUUAGUCAAUGGGGGUACAGCCCCCUUGAAAUAGAAACAACUUUGCCGGGCGGAUAAAGAUCCUGUACCCUUAAGGGUCCUACUAGAGUGGGCAUAAAGAGCAGCCAUCUCCCUAGAAAGCGUCAUAGCUCAAGUCCCUUCCCCCUCCCACAUAUUACGAUAUUACACUCUUAAUCCCCCCCCCCCCCCCACUAGAAUGUUCUAUAGAAUUAAUAGAAGCAAUAAUGCUAGAAUGAGUAAUAAGAGGGGCCUGCCCCUCUCUCACGCCCCCGUGUCACUCGGAGCAGACAAACUGCCGAAAAUUAACGAUCUCAGAAAUAGAGCGUAAGGGGCAUUAAUAUAAACUGCCAGAAAAGCACCCCAUAUCUAAUCGUGGACCCAACACGGGAGGGCUUAUAGAGAAAGACUAAAAGGGGAAGAAGGAACUCGGCAAACAAAAGCCCCGCCUGUUUACCAAAAACAUCGCCUCUUGGCCCCCCCCCAUAAGAGGUCAAACCUGCCCAGUGACCACGUGUUCAACGGCCGCGGUAUCUUGACCGUGCAAAGGUAGCGUAAUCAUUUGUCUUUUAAAUGAAGACCUGUAUGAAUGGUUUAACGAGGGCUUAACUGUCUCCUUCCCCCAGUCAAUGAAAUUGACCUCCCCGUGCAGAGGCGGGGAUCCCUACAUAAGACGAGAAGACCCUGUGGAGCUUUUAAAUACAAGUCAAAGCCAAGUCUAUAAGCAAUAAUAAAACGUAAAACACAUUGGCCUAGGACAAUAUUUUAGGUUGGGGCGACCCUGGGGAAUACAAAACCCCCAUGUGGAAUAAGCCCACGUUAAAAUACACACCGGGCUUUAAGACAAAGAAAGACACUUCUAAUCAGCAGAAUUUCUGACCUAGUGGAUCCGGCACGACCGAUCAACGAACCAAGUUACCCCAGGGAUAACAGCGCAAUCCCCUUCUAGAGCCCCUAUCGACAAGGGGGUUUACGACCUCGAUGUUGGAUCAGGACAUCCUAGUGAUGAAGCCAUUAUUAAGGGUUCGUUUGUUCAACGAUUAAAGUCCUACGUGAUCUGAGUUCAGACCGGAGCAAUCCAGGUCAGUUUCUAUCUAUGAUAAGUUCCCCCCUAGUACGAAAGGACCCGGGGGAAGAGGCCUAUGUUUUUUACACGCCUUGCCACCACCUACGAGACAUUUUAUAAAAUAGUUUAUACGGCCUGCCCCUCAGUUUUAGAUAAUAACAA
Molecule: ribosomal RNA, 1711 nt
Filed under: Symphurus plagiusa (blackcheek tonguefish)
Lineage: Eukaryota; Metazoa; Chordata; Actinopteri; Pleuronectiformes; Cynoglossidae
Description: 16S ribosomal RNA
Rfam family: Bacterial large subunit ribosomal RNA (bases 86-1622)
Source: RNAcentral